RNAcentral lists this ribosomal RNA (621 nucleotides) under Aleurodiscus oakesii. Its description in RNAcentral is "eukaryotic LSU rRNA". The stretch from base 217 to 370 matches the Rfam family "5.8S ribosomal RNA". The record is from RNAcentral. Lineage: Eukaryota; Fungi; Basidiomycota; Agaricomycetes; Russulales; Stereaceae.
CUAGGUACUGCGGAGACAUUAAUGAAGCUUCUACCCCAUCGCGGGCGGGGUCUGUUCUGGCUUUGCAAGUGAACGCCUCCGUCUGUGAAUCAUCCACACACACCUGUGCACCUCCGCGUGGGUUGGGCGGCGUAACACCCGUCUGGCCUGCGUCUUUUCACAAACUCUUGUAUGUCUUCAGAAUGUAAUCUCGAUGCCAUAAAACGCAUCUAAUACAACUUUCAACAACGGAUCUCUUGGCUCUCGCAUCGAUGAAGAACGCAGCGAAAUGCGAUAAGUAAUGUGAAUUGCAGAAUUCAGUGAAUCAUCGAAUCUUUGAACGCACCUUGCGCCCUUUGGUAUUCCGAAGGGCACACCUGUUUGAGUGUCGUGAAAUUCUCAACUCUCCCUCCUUUUGUUAGGAGGGAUGAGAUUGGACUUGGAGGUUCUUGCUGGCCAUUGCGGUCAGCUCCUCUCAAAUGCAUUAGUGCGUCUUGUUGCAACGUACCCUCGGUGUGAUAAAUAUCUACGCUGUGGUCCUACGAUGCUGCCUGUGGGAUGCGCUUAUAACCGUCCUCUGGACAAUUCAUCGAAACUUGACCUCAAAUCAGGUGGGACUACCCGCUGAACUUAAGCAUACAA